CUCUACCAGCUAUGCUAAAGAUAGAUGACCAAUGGAGUUGGCAGCCUCAGAGACAUCCUCCCAUUUCCCCUUUCUUUUCAUGAGCUACAUUAACUAUAUCUGCUACAAAAACCUGGGAUCUGACCCUGGACUAAUUUUCUUCUAGAGAGGGGAGUGUUUCCUAGGUCUCCAGUCCCCAGGGCCCCAACCCCUCGAACUGGUGCUCACGUAGGGGCAUCUGAGGAAUCUAGAGCUAUUAACUGGGGGAGGACAUCUCAGAUGUUUAUUACCAAAAUAAAAAGCUGACUAAUGUGCUCAGUGAGAUACAAAAGUUUUGAGAGCAGAGUAGCUAGGAUUAGGGGAUUGGAAAUGGAACAUUUCCAGCUGGCACCUGAGACAGGGACCAAAGACUUCAGCAAAAACUGCCAGGUGGCUAAAGAGCCAGGUGGGACAGCUCAGCUUCAGAUGCAGACAAGCCACCCCACCCCCGUGGAGAAGCUCCACAUCGCUGAGGUCCUUGCUCCCCAGGGCCUAGGGGCUUAUGCAACGCCUCCUGCACACUGCCACUUUGAGAAGAGAAGGAGGAAGGAAGACAUCCCGAGAAUGAACAAUCAGUCUUACCCCAAAGUUUGGCUUUGAGUUGACUGGCUAUGUAGCCUUCUCAGGAUCGGAUGAACAAAAUGGGGACAAUUUAGCUUUAAUUGGCAAGUAGAGUUUUUUUCUUUUGCCAUCGUCGGCAUAUGGACCAGAGGGCAAGAUGAGAGCCACUGUAGGAUUAUUGGAGCUAACAACUAUGAAUGGUUCCAGAUCCAAGUCUAUCUUUUCAUCGCUUGAAAGUCAAUACUUGAAGACGAGAGGAGGAAGGAAAUCAUGUAUUCAGAGGCUGGCACCUUCAGAAAAUGGAGUAGAUAGGGCUACCAUUUUGGUGAACUUGAGAAGAUAGGAGGACUUCUAUAGGGAGGGGAAAGAGCUGCAGGGAGACAACGAGGAAAGCUAAGGGCUGAGUGGGGUCUUUGCCAUCCAGGAUGUGUGUGUGUGUGUGUGUGUGUGUGUGUGUGUCCUUCAUCCAGAACAGCACAAUGGGCCUUGUUCUUAUAAUUCUGUAGACAAAUAUUACUUUUUUCUGCAAGUAAAGCAUCAUUUUACACUAUCUGGUAUAAUCUGAGAGUUGCUAGGUGUUCUGGGUUCUGUAAAUUUGGAAAAAAUUAUUUAGCAGUUAACAUCUUAAUCUUUUAGGUGCAGCUUUUUAUCGGAAUUUAGAAUACUGGACAAGGGGAGAGGGAGGAAUUCUACAAAGGACAACUUGCAAAAAGAGUGGCCGCUGUUACAUGAAGGGGAGAGAGAGAAUUAUGUGUUCCUACUAUAUAGUUUGAUGCACCAUGGUUUUGUAGCAAGGGGGAUAAUUUUCUCCUUACCUUUAAUCAUUCUUAACUGGAAAUCCUUGUAAAAAAGAAAUACUGCAAGAGAAAGAAAAGUGUAUCAACA
Molecule: long non-coding RNA, 1464 nt
Filed under: Heterocephalus glaber (naked mole-rat)
Lineage: Eukaryota; Metazoa; Chordata; Mammalia; Rodentia; Bathyergidae
Description: lncRNA (ENSHGLG00100040973.1)
Source: RNAcentral